UUUUCGCGUGUUUAGGUUAAA
This 21-nucleotide non-coding RNA is filed under the name Caenorhabditis elegans. Lineage: Eukaryota; Metazoa; Nematoda; Chromadorea; Rhabditida; Rhabditidae. The record is from RNAcentral.